RNAcentral lists this ribosomal RNA (484 nucleotides) under uncultured bacterium. Its description in RNAcentral is "partial 16S ribosomal RNA". It matches the Rfam family "Bacterial small subunit ribosomal RNA", at positions 30 to 507 of the family's 1533-position model. The record is from RNAcentral.
AUUGAACGCUGGCGGCAGGCCUAACACAUGCAAGUCGAGCGGAUGAAGGGAGCUUGCUCCUGGAUUCAGCGGCGGACGGGUGAGUAAUGCCUAGGAAUCUGCCUGGUAGUGGGGGAUAACGUCCGGAAACGGGCGCUAAUACCGCAUACGUCCUGAGGGAGAAAGUGGGGGAUCUUCGGACCUCACGCUAUCAGAUGAGCCUAGGUCGGAUUGGCUAGUUGGUGGGGUAAAGGCCUACCAAGGCGACGAUCCGUAACUGGUCUGAGAGGAUGAUCAGUCACACUGGAACUGAGACACGGUCCAGACUCCUACGGGAGGCAGCAGUGGGGAAUAUUGGGCAAUGGGCGAAAGCCUGAUCCAGCCAUGCCGCGUGUGUGAAGAAGGUCUUCGGAUUGUAAAGCACUUUAAGUUGGGAGGAAGGGCAGUAAGUUAAUACCUUGCUGUUUUGACGUUACCAACAGAAUAAGCACCGGCUAACUUCGUG